UAGGGAAUCUUCGGCAAUGGGGGCAACCCUGACCGAGCAACGCCGCGUGAGUGAAGAAGGUUUUCGGAUCGUAAAGCUCUGUUGUAAGAGAAGAACGUGUGUGAGAGUGGAAAGUUCACACAGUGACGGUAACUUACCAGAAAGGGACGGCUAACUACGUGCCAGCAGCCGCGGUAAUACGUAGGUCCCGAGCGUAGUCCGGAUUUAUUGGGCGUAAAGCGAGCGCAGGCGGUUUAAUAAGUCUGAAGUUAAAGGCAGUGGCUUAACCAUUGUUCGCUUUGGAAACUGUUAAACUUGAGUGCAGAAGGGGAGAGUGGAAUUCCAUGUGUAGCGGUGAAAUGCGUAGAUAUAUGGAGGAACACCGGUGGCGAAAGCGGCUCUCUGGUCUGUAACUGACGCUGAGGCUCGAAAGCGUGGGGAGCAAACAGG
Molecule: ribosomal RNA, 429 nt
Filed under: bacterium
Lineage: Bacteria
Description: partial 16S ribosomal RNA
Rfam family: Bacterial small subunit ribosomal RNA
Source: RNAcentral